This 403-nucleotide long non-coding RNA is filed under the name Citrus x clementina. RNAcentral describes it as "Citrus clementina (C. clementina) long non-coding RNA (CCLE_LNC001085)". The record is from RNAcentral. Lineage: Eukaryota; Viridiplantae; Streptophyta; Magnoliopsida; Sapindales; Rutaceae.
AUAAUUAAUUAAAUAGACAAUUAUUUUUAAGUUAAUCCUAACUAAACCCAUGUUUUAAUUGAGAUUACUAAUCCCAUGAUCUUAUGAUUAAAUUCAAAUUUAGUCCCAUGAUCUAAUCCAAAGUGGAGCUUGCCAAAGAUAAGAUAAAUAAUUAGUUCCAAAAUUAAUCCAAUCCUAUACUUUAUCCUACCUCCCAAACAUAACCUAAGAAUAUACAUCAUCAUAUAAUAAAUAGUGAAUGGAUGGUAAAACUUAGCAUUUUGUUGAGGCAGAAACUUCAAUUAUUAUUUUUUUGGUGAAUGAAACUUUCAAUUAUUGUUGUAUUUAUGCCCAAUAAUUCUAAGAGAAAAAGAGACAUACAUUCUCAAAAUUUAGAAAAAUAGUCACGUGUGGACCCCAAGUU